Molecule: non-coding RNA, 431 nt
Filed under: Symbiodinium microadriaticum
Lineage: Eukaryota; Dinophyceae; Suessiales; Symbiodiniaceae
Description: Eukaryotic large subunit ribosomal RNA
Rfam family: Eukaryotic large subunit ribosomal RNA
Source: Rfam by way of RNAcentral
CCCGUCGAAUAUUUAGCACAUAAAUAAACAGUGGAGCAGGAACUAAACAGGAUUCCCUUAGUAUAAUGGUGAACGAACAGGGAUCAGCUUGGGUUGGAAACCGAGUUUUUGCGAUGGAUUGUGGCCUUUAGACAUACUACCAACGACGGCGCGAGCGUGGGCCUCUUGGAACAGAGCGUCUACGUGGGUGAGAAUCCUGUGUUUCGCUUGAUGCCCGCCGUGCACGGUACUUGCUCUCACAGUCACGCUCCGCGCUCCUUGGAAUUGGAGCGUAAAUUGGGUGGUAAAUUUCAAAAGCUAAAUACAGGCUCGAGACCGAUAGCAAACAAGUACCAUGAGGGAAAGAUGAAAAGGACUUUGAAAAGAGAGUUAAAAGUGCUUGAAACAUCAAGGUCCACGCCAACCUCGGCCGUCGCCGCCCCUAAACCCGG